UAACACGUGGUCAACCUUCCCUACAGUGGGGGAUAACUAGCCGAAAGGUUAGCUAAUACCGCAUACGAUCUAUGAGAGGCAUCUCUUAUAGAUGAAAGGAGCAAUCCGCUGAAGGAUGGGACCGCGUCCCAUUAGUUAGUUGGUGGGGUAAUGGCCUACCAAGACUCCGAUGGGUAGCUGGUUUGAGAGAGCGACCAGCCACACUGGGACUGAGAAACGGCCCAG
This 225-nucleotide ribosomal RNA is filed under the name uncultured bacterium. Its description in RNAcentral is "partial 16S ribosomal RNA". It matches the Rfam family "Bacterial small subunit ribosomal RNA", at positions 111 to 334 of the family's 1533-position model. The record is from RNAcentral.